GGGAGGUUUAAUUCUGGCUUUGGAAUUUUUUUGUUAGGAAAGUUGUUGAUAAGGGAAGUUUUAAGAAAAGAAAUUUAGAUGAAAAAAUUGGAAAGGUAAGAUGUACGCUCCGGUUAUUUUAAAAAAUUUUAGCAAAUAUGGUGCCAGCGGCUGCGGUUAUACCAUUAGAGUGAAAAAAAUUUUGUUUUGAUUUUGAAAUUUUAAUUAAAAGUUGUAAAGUUUUCAGAAAGGUAAAAUUUUGGAAGGCUGAAGAAUCUUGAGAAGAAUUUUUUAAAAGUUCUAAAGAGAGACUAGGAUUAGAUACCCUAUUAUUUAG
RNAcentral lists this ribosomal RNA (316 nucleotides) under Mesobuthus eupeus (lesser Asian scorpion). RNAcentral's name for it is "partial 12S ribosomal RNA". Lineage: Eukaryota; Metazoa; Arthropoda; Arachnida; Scorpiones; Buthidae. The record is from RNAcentral.